UGGCAUUAGUCGGGGUGCCUUAUGGCUGAGAUCAUACCCGUGAACCUGAAACAGUUAGUACUGGCGUAGGAAACUAAUUAUGUCCACAU
Molecule: non-coding RNA, 89 nt
Filed under: Muribacter muris
Lineage: Bacteria; Pseudomonadati; Pseudomonadota; Gammaproteobacteria; Pasteurellales; Pasteurellaceae
Description: Actinobacillus muris TPP sequence
Rfam family: TPP riboswitch aptamer (THI element)
About the family: Vitamin B(1) in its active form thiamin pyrophosphate (TPP) is an essential coenzyme that is synthesised by coupling of pyrimidine and thiazole moieties in bacteria. The previously detected thiamin-regulatory element, thi box was extended, resulting in a new, highly conserved RNA secondary structure, the THI element, which is widely distributed in eubacteria and also occurs in some archaea.
Source: Rfam by way of RNAcentral